GAUGAACGCUGGCGGCGUGCCUAAUACAUGCAAGUCGAGCGAACAGACGAGGAGCUUGCUCCUCUGACGUUAGCGGCGGACGGGUGAGUAACACGUGGAUAACCUACCUAUAAGACUGGGAUAACUUCGGGAAACCGGAGCUAAUACCGGAUAACAUGUUGAACCGCAUGGUUCAACAGUGAAAGACGGUUUUGCUGUCACUUAUAGAUGGAUCCGCGUCGCAUUAGCUAGUUGGUAAGGUAACGGCUUACCAAGGCAACGAUGCGUAGCCGACCUGAGAGGGUGAUCGGCCACACUGGAACUGAGACACGGUCCAGACUCCUACGGGAGGCAGCAGUAGGGAAUCUUCCGCAAUGGGCGAAAGCCUGACGGAGCAACGCCGCGUGAGUGAAGAAGGUCUUCGGAUCGUAAAACUCUGUUAUUAGGGAAGAACAAAUGUGUAAGUAACUAUGCAUGUCUUGACGGUACCUAAUCAGAAAGCCACGGCUAACUACGUG
Molecule: ribosomal RNA, 497 nt
Filed under: uncultured bacterium
Lineage: Bacteria
Description: partial 16S ribosomal RNA
Rfam family: Bacterial small subunit ribosomal RNA
Source: RNAcentral